This 464-nucleotide ribosomal RNA is filed under the name uncultured bacterium. RNAcentral's name for it is "partial 16S ribosomal RNA". It matches the Rfam family "Bacterial small subunit ribosomal RNA", at positions 28 to 507 of the family's 1533-position model. The record is from RNAcentral.
GACGAACGCUGGCGGCGUGCUUAACACAUGCAAGUCGAACGGAAAGGCCCUGCUUGCAGGGUACUCGAGUGGCGAACGGGUGAGUAACACAUGGGUGAUCUGCCCUGCACUUCGGGAUAAGCCUGGGAAACUGGGUCUAAUACCGGAUAGGAGCCAUUUUUAGUGUGAUGGUUGGAAAGUUUUUUCGGUGUAGGAUGAGCUCGCGGCCUAUCAGCUUGUUGGUGGGGUAAUGGCCUACCAAGGCGGCGACGGGUAGCCGGCCUGAGAGGGUGGACGGCCACAUUGGGACUGAGAUACGGCCCAGACUCCUACGGGAGGCAGCAGUGGGGAAUAUUGCACAAUGGGCGCAAGCCUGAUGCAGCGACGCCGCGUGGGGGAUGACGGCCUUCGGGUUGUAAACUCCUUUCGCUAGGGACGAAGCUUUUGUGACGGUACCUAGAUAAGAAGCACCGGCUAACUACGUG